Long non-coding RNA from Oreochromis niloticus (Nile tilapia), 706 nucleotides. RefSeq lists it as uncharacterized. The record is from RefSeq and is a predicted model, not a curated record. NCBI's taxonomy places the organism in Eukaryota, Metazoa, Chordata, Actinopteri, Cichliformes, Cichlidae. The transcript has 3 exons.
UCAAGUAUGAUCUGUUUUUUUACCUGUCCCAAUUUAAGUGCAUAAUCCAAACUAUUGUGCCCACUGUGAGACAACUCUGGCUACCGUUUUUGUGUAGCGAGUCUAGGCUGUGAGUCCGCUGUUUAGCACAGCUGUCAGUUUGUCUUUUUCAUGUCUCUUUACUUUGGAGGAGGCUAAAAAACUUUGUGAAAGAAGCAUGAUAAGAUGAGUCAGUGAGUCUCCCUUCUGUCAGAUGACAAUGAUACUGAGGGCACACGUGGAUCCCACAGGGGUGCCUGCUGUGAGGAAAAUUGAUGUAGUCAUCCAGUGACUAUGGACAGGUGAUCAAAUCCAGAACUGGCCUUUGUCCGCAAGCCUGACACUGGUGAAUAAAGAGGAUGAAGAGGGAGCCCAGGGAGGAAUGAAGGCAGGAGACUGCGAUUAUCACUUCAUGUUUCCAUCAUGUCUUACCAAAGGUACUUUGCCUUCCUCUUCCUCACGCAUGAGCACAAGUGUCUCUGACUAAAAAGAAUGAGCUGAUUUGAUCUUGAGGAACAUCUUUUUUCCUUCCUCUUGCUCCUGGCUUUCACUCGUUUUCCUCUAGUAAUACAAAAUUUCCGUACCAAACAAACUGUGGCAUUUCCUGUGCAUGUGUGUAUGUGUGUGUGUGGCAGCUGAUAGUACAUGCAGGAGAAUUCAGAGAGUUUGUCUUCCAGCAAGAACAACA